GCCGGGGUGGCGAAAUUGGCAGACGCGAUGGACUCAAAAUCCAUUGGACCUUGGUCCGUGCGGGUUCGAGUCCCGCCCCCGGCA
This 84-nucleotide transfer RNA is filed under the name Acidimicrobiia bacterium. Its description in RNAcentral is "tRNA-Leu". It matches the Rfam family "tRNA". Rfam says of the family: Transfer RNA (tRNA) molecules are approximately 80 nucleotides in length. Their secondary structure includes four short double-helical elements and three loops (D, anti-codon, and T loops). Further hydrogen bonds mediate the characteristic L-shaped molecular structure. tRNAs have two regions of fundamental functional importance: the anti-codon, which is responsible for specific mRNA codon recognition, and the 3' end, to which the tRNAs corresponding amino acid is attached (by aminoacyl-tRNA synthetases). tRNAs cope with the degeneracy of the genetic code in two manners: having more than one tRNA (with a specific anti-codon) for a particular amino acid; and 'wobble' base-pairing, i.e. permitting non-standard base-pairing at the 3rd anti-codon position. The record is from RNAcentral. Lineage: Bacteria; Bacillati; Actinomycetota; Acidimicrobiia.